CAGCCGCCGCGGUAAUACGAAGGGUGCAAGCGUUACUCGGAAUUACUGGGCGCAAAGCGUGCGUAGGUGGUGGUUUAAGUCCGUUGUGAAAGCCCUGGGCUCAACCUGGGAAUUGCAGUGGAUACUGGGUCACUAGAGUGUGGUAGAGGAUAGUGGAAUUUCCGGUGUAGCGGUGAAAUGCGUAGAUAUCGGAAGGAACACCUGUGGCAAAAGCGGCUCACUGGACCAUUACUGACGCUGAUGCACGAAAGCUAGGGGAGCAAACAGGAUUAGAUACCCCCGUAGUCCCUGUCUCUUAUAC
Molecule: ribosomal RNA, 301 nt
Filed under: uncultured bacterium
Lineage: Bacteria
Description: partial 16S ribosomal RNA
Rfam family: Bacterial small subunit ribosomal RNA
Source: RNAcentral